Homo sapiens (human) is the source of this 290-nucleotide long non-coding RNA. RefSeq lists it as uncharacterized. The record is from RefSeq and is a predicted model, not a curated record. The transcript is spliced from 3 exons. NCBI's taxonomy places the organism in Eukaryota, Metazoa, Chordata, Mammalia, Primates, Hominidae.
GUAAAGCAGGGCCCGCCGGCCCAGCCCCCCUCCCAGGUUUCGGAGCCAAGGAAGCUGAGAACAAGGGGACAAAGUCACUUUCCCAGCCAUCAUCUUCCCUGCACUGGAAGGGGCAGAACGAGGACCCAGCACUGAGAGGAAACAGCUGGUAUGUGCCCUAGAAGGUUAAAGACGGUGUUCAACUCCGCUGGCCACAGACCACAAUGAAAAGGAGCUGCUGGCUGGGCACGAUGGCUCAUACCUAUAAUCCCAGCACUUUGGAAGGCCAAGGUGGGAGGAUCACCUGAGGU